GUGCUUUUGCCCUUGGGAAGGGCAGCAGAGUCCUCAGGAGGACAUCACGGCCAAAGUGAUGUGCCAGGUGCCUGAGACACUGCAGGGGCUGUGCUUCUGAGGCCACCAGGAACUCCUGCCCACUCCCUGCUGCAGCAGGAGGAUGUCACGGCCAAAGUGAUGGGCCAGUUCCGUAUCAUCCGGCACUUGCACCAGUCCCUGAGGUGCUGCAGGGGCUGUGCUUCUGAGGACUCCAGCAACUCCUGCUCCCUGCUGCAUGUACUGCUCUGGCUCACUGUAAAUGGGGAGCUAGUGGAAGGGGAAAUGGAGCCCCCUGGUACUCACAGAAACUCUCCCCCCCAUGUGGAGCAGGGUCCUUCCCUCUGCCCCCAAAAUUCCUUCAUCUGGGGCAAGAGCUCUUCCCCUCACUCCCAUUCCCCUCCCUCUUUCCUUGGCCUGACCCCCAUCCCAUUCCCCCUGCUCCCAGGCAGAGCUCUCCCUGCCCCAGAUGGUGCAGAAGGGCUUUUGUGUCAGGGAACAGUCCCAUGCCCCACUAAAGCUCGGAAAGAUUCAUUUUUGAGGAGGUGAUGGUGGGAUAGAGGCUCAGGCCCAGCUUCACCUCCUGCCCUUUAUUCUCCCUUUGGCCCUUCUAUGGGGUCUCUUGGUGUGAAAUGGAAAGAAGCCGCCUCCCCGGCUGUGUUCUAUGCCCUGGGAUCUGGCACAGCCUCCCAGAUGGGCGGAUCCUGCACCUGAGCCACCUCGGAGCAGUGAGGACAGGUAACCUCGUCCCAUCAAACCAAGCAGUGCUGGGUCUCAAAGAGGCUGAGAUGGAAGAGCCCCCUCCCUCGUGGCGGUAAGAGCCAUUUACUCCUCAGGGCAUGCGGGGCUCCUGGGGGAGAAAUAGAAUUUCCAGUGCAUAGCCUGGCUGGGAGCUUUGCCUGUCCCUGGAUCCCAGUCCUGGGACAGAGAUGUCUUCAUCAACGUGCCACCCUUGUUUUGUUCCUAGCAAGAGUCUCCCCAGAGACGUCCUUAAACCUGGACUCCUAAAAGCGUUUCUGGCAGGAGGUUCCAGCCCCUCAGGCAUGAAGAGAGCAUUAUGCAAUCUUGUUCACAUGGCAUCUCCGCUCCCCAGGUCCACUUCCCACAGCAGAACAAAUGAACCCUUCAAGUCCCAGAGACCCAACUCUUUGACCUCCUUCCAAUCAGCAAUGGGGGUUCUCCAGCCCCCUCACCACAGCUGUCAGCUUCUGAAUGAUGAAGGGCCUGAAUGUCAGUCGUCAUAACAAGAAAACUCCAGUUCCAUGCAGUAGGGCUUGUGUGUACUCAGCCCCUCUAGAAACCAGGUCUGAAAUGGGGAGCAAGAACCCCAGCCCAGUAACAGUAGGAGUGGGCAGAGCACGCCUGUACCAGGGUGCUUUCCUCUGGGCUGCAGAGCCUGGAACCUAGCCAAACUGAUUACAGAAUGAGCCCUACCUGAGAAGGACCAUGUACCUCCCCCUAAAGAGCCAGACUUCAGCAGUGAUAAAACCCAGCUGGGCUAUGAGAAUGAGAACUAGAUGGGAAGUUCAGAGCAGCAAGGAAAGCCUAGAGGAACUUGAGAAGAGAGGUAGGAAGUGCCCCGGGAAACUUGCAGCAAAGAGAAAGGAGCAGACCGAGCUGUUGGAUAGAGGGUCCUGGGCUGCUACCAAUGUCAGGGUGGGGCUGGGUUCCCCUACUGGCCCCAAAGAAGGGGGCGUGUACACACAGCCGGAGAGGGUUCCAAGCCCAGAAAGGGGGUUGCAGGCUGAGCAGGAGCCCCAGCGAUGGCAGAAGGACUUCUUUCUGUGGGAAGACCUCUUUGGACUUUUAGUGUGAGACAACCUGGGCUCCAGAAGGGUGGACUAAAGGUGGUGACCGGGCCAGAGGCUGAGUUACCAGGCAGAGAAACUGCCAUGGUGCUGGAGCGCCCAUCGAUGGGGGACGCUUGAUUUCAUGACUGGACAAAAAGAGCAGAUGUGGACAGCAUGCCUGGGCUGUGCUGAGAAGGUUAGCCCAGGAGAGCAGGGCAUGAGAAAGUAUACAAGCGUGGCCUAAUGCCAAAAUAGGGACAAAUAUUCUUUGUUUUGGGUGCAGAGAACAGGCCAUAUCUAAAGACACAGUCUGCUUAGGAAAUUGCAGAGUGGGAAAAGGAGGGGCUAGAACCCAAAGAAGGUAGAAAGAAAAGAGAAGGUGUCCUCUGGCACAAACCCAUGAGACAGGCAAAGUGGAGGUGGCAGGGAUGGCCGUGGACGUUGCAGACCCUCCACCAACACACCCUGUCGGGUGCUGCAGGGAGGUGGAGGACGAAAUGGUUGGCACAGAGAUGAAGCAGACUGAAGUAGGGACAAACACAAGGGUGGAGCAGUCCAUGGUGGGUUCUCAGACCCUGAAGGAAAAGGUUUGGGGGGGAUGCAGUGGCAGUAGCAAAAAGGCUACAGAAGAAGCUAAUGGCUUCAGAACAGGCUCUGCAAGCAGCUGUUAAUGAGACUGAGUGGCUGCAGGAAGAGCAUUGGGAUACUGCAGAAGAGAAGGGUCGCCUCUUUAAUUCUGGUGAGCGAGCUGGCAGGGGAGCUGGAGACGCCGAGUGCCCAGGCUGUACAAGUGCGCAGCUGGUGACAGCGACGAGAUGGCAAGGGAUGAAGCUUGGACAAGAGUAGAACUUGCCCCUGGUUUGGGCUGGAUUUAAGGAGGAGGGGGGUAUAUGACAGGGUGGCUUGACCUAUGGGCUGCAAAGCCUGGAGCUGGGCCAAAUUGAUUACAAAGUGAGCCCCACCUGAGGGGAAACCAGGGAAAACCACAGGAAAAGUAAAGGAGCAGGCCUAGCAGUUCAGUACAGGGCCUUGGGCCAGAAUCUAGAGUCCAGGGCAGGAGUGGGUUCUCCCACCAUCCCCAAGGAAGAGGAUGUACAAGGUCAUGGAAAGGGCUAGCAAGCCCAGCAAGGGCAGGCCGAGCCAAUGGCAGGCUGAGGAAGUGCCCCCAAGAAGGCGGAAGGUCUUGUUUCUGUUAAGACAUUUUCGGACUUUUUGUUUGGGAUGAGCGUGACCCAGGAAGGAGUGGACUGAAGGAUGGUCACCUGGCUGAAGGGCUAAGUUCCCAGCCAACAAACUGCCAGCGCGACUAUUGGCGGCGGUGCUAGCCCAGCAAGAAAGCUGUAACA
Long non-coding RNA from Mauremys reevesii (Reeves's turtle), 3154 nucleotides. RefSeq lists it as uncharacterized. The transcript has 3 exons. NCBI's taxonomy places the organism in Eukaryota, Metazoa, Chordata, Testudines, Geoemydidae. The record is from RefSeq and is a predicted model, not a curated record.